This 35577-nucleotide long non-coding RNA is filed under the name Fragaria vesca (wild strawberry). RNAcentral's name for it is "long non-coding RNA (FVES_LNC001018)". Lineage: Eukaryota; Viridiplantae; Streptophyta; Magnoliopsida; Rosales; Rosaceae. The record is from RNAcentral.
AAAAAAAAAAAAACUAAACGUGUAGAGUUAUCCCAGAAAAAUGCAUUCUGGGUUCUUCAUUUCUUUGGUUUGCUCAUUUUGUUAGAGUUGUCCUUGAUCUAUAGUGGUGCUUCUAGAUUUGGAUUUUGCAGAUUGGGAAAACAGGUCGGUUGUUUUUGAGUUUUUUUUUUUCUUUGGGUGAUUGGUUUGAUUGAGUAAUUGAUUUGUGUAAUGUGUUGGGUUUGGUUUGUGGGGAAAAGGGGUUUUAGGGAUUUGGAUUUUGAUUGUGGGUUUUUGAGUUUGGUUUUAGGUGUUGAAUUUGAAGCAAUGGGGACCAAGAUUUGCAUGAACCUGUUUCGGUAAGAAUUUCGGUCCCCUUUUUGCAGUUUCAAAGAUUUGUAUUUUUUUUCAGCUGAAGUUUUGAUUUUUAAGGUGUUUUGGAUAUAGUGUUGGGAGGGCAAUAUGAGAUGUGGGUUGUGGUUCUUAACGUUGGGUUUUAUAUGUUUUUGAUUAAAGUUUUGAUCUUUACUUUUUGGGGGGUUUUUGGGUUUGGACCAAUUGCAUUUGUUCAUGAGCUAGCUGCUGGUUUAAUUGUGUGAGUGUGUUGAUAGUUGCAUCGAUGAUCGAGUCUGUGGAUUAUGAUUAAAAUCCUCUUUGCAUUAGUGAAAUUGAUACCAAUUUUGUGAUUUGAACAAUGUAAAUGGCAAAUGCAGAACCUUUAAAUGAUAAACACGGGCUCAUAUUCUACCAGCUGAAUCUUGGUAAUGGAGUUGGCAGGGUCUUGUGUUGAUUUCAAGUGAAUUGCUGAUUUCAGUGUUUCUUCUGCUCAGGGUAAUUGGUUUUCAAUUUGUUUCUUCUCUUUUGUCUACGGUAUAUCUUCUUUCUCUGCUUACUUUGGUUUUCGGGGACAGCUAAGGGAGGAGGAGAGAAAGAGAAGGACCGUGUGAUUCUGAUUUAGGGGUAGCAUUCGAUCUUCAUUACAUUUGAAAUGGGGGAUUGGCGGUGCAUGCUGCUUUUGUCUGGUGAAAAUGAAUUAGGUGAAACACGCUAAUGUCUAUAUAUGAAUUAUUUGGCAGAAGAAAUGAAAAGGACAAAAAAAAAACUCAUGUAGAGUCAUCCCAGGAAAGUGCAUUCUGGGUUCUUCCUUUCUUUGGUUUCCUCAUCAUUUUGUUGGAUUAAAGACUUUUUAUUUUUUAUUUUUCCGUUGUGAAUUUGUCCAGUUUUAUAGAAUCUCAUCCAGUUGUCCUUGAUCUAUAGUGGUGCUUCUAAGAAUAAUAAGUCCAUUAGAUGGUAUUUAGAUAGUUAGGUUGUCUUCAGUGUUUGAAUGACCCUUUUCUAGAUUUUGGUUUUGCAGAUUGGGAAAACAGGUUGGUUGUUUUUGAGGGUUUUUUUUUUUUUUGGGUGCUUGUGUUUGAUUGAGUAAUUGAUUGGUGUAAUGUGUUGGGUUUGAUUUGUGGGGAAAAGGGGUUUUAGGGAUUUGGAUUUUGAUUGUGGGUUUUUGAGUUUGGUUUUAGAUGUUGAAUUUGAAGCAAUGGAACUGGACUCUGGGACGGUUAUGUUGAUAAAAUUGAAUGCCUGAAAUGUCCUUUUCAGUUGUCUCAGUGAAGAAUUCUACAGAGGAUGUUGGUCUUGCAUCUUUCAGCAGAUCCAAUGCAGACGAAUCUUUUAGAAUCUCUGAAAGUUCACCUGAAAGUUAACCCGCGAAGCAAUGUUUUGUCAUAACUCUAUUGAGGGGGUCAGUUUUGGUUCUAAAUUCUCCGAUGCUGCACAUGAAACCUCAGCACAUAGCUUGGAGUGUCAGCUAGACUCAACUGCUUGGGAUGGCUUUGCUGAUGAAACUGAGUGUGAUUCUGCUGGUUCAAGUACAAGAUCCGAGAUGGUCUACUCAGUUGUAUCCGGGGAUACUUCUAUAGAAAAUUGGUGUGACAUCCUUCGGCUGCUCCUAUGCUAAACCACUUGGGCUCUCUGAAGAUUCAUCUCAUAAGUUAUCCAGGGAAGCAAUGCUAUGUCAUAACUCUAUUGAGGUGGCUGGUUGUGUUUGUGGCACUUCAGCACAUGGUCUAGAGUUUGAAUUCCAGCUAUGCUCACCGAUUGGAGUUCAGCACAUGUUCUUGGGAUGAGUUUGCUGAUGCUAAUCAAUGUGUUUCUGGUCCAUCAAAAGCUACUUCUGAAGUAGUCUGUUCAUUUGCUUCUGGAGAAAAUGCUGCAGCGGAAAUUGGAGUUCCGUCCUUCAGUGGUUCCAGUGCAAAUAAAUUUGACUGAAAAUCCACCUCAAAUGUUAUCUUAGGAAGCUACUUUUAGUCAUAGUUCUGGUAGGAAGGCCGGAUGUGUUUCUGAUAGCUCUGAUGGAUCCUCAUUGUCAACUCCAGCCCUGUGUCCAGUAAGACUAAGGACACAGAAGGUCUACUUUCUUCAUUCAGCAGUGUCCUAUCAGUUGGUCAGUAUUUCUUCCCCUAACGAGUUCUUGGUUUCUUACAUAUGUAUAUUUUGUUCAAUUGCACAAUGGGUAUUAAUUAACUCAUAUUUUACAGCAGAAGGCACUUCAAGAAUUACGGAGACCAUGCCUCUCACACUACUUGUGGAAAACAGCACGUCAAGAUCUGUGAGUCCGUUCAACAUGAGGCUGCAAUAACCUCUUCAGAUACUGGUAUGCAAUUAAAUGUACAUGUGUUACUUACAUUUGUUUCCUCUGUCCUCUCUCACCCCUUAGACACCAACACCCAAACUCUGUUUCCUUUCUUCAACUUUGGCGUUAGUAACAACAAUUGUGGUGUGACAACUAAUUCUGUUUCAAUCUUGCUAAGCCUAGGUUUUGUAGUUUAAUAAAAAGGUUGUGGUCCAUAAAUCCAUUUUGCCUUUUGGCUUUAGACUAUAAGAGUAUGUUCCAGCAACUCCCCAAUUUUAGUCCUCCUUUGGCUUGUACUUCAAGCUGUCACCUACCUUAAGGAGGCCUAGAUGCCAAAGAUGCCAAAGAUGUAAGAACUGCAUCGCCCCAGUCAGUCCUUUUAUCUUUUGUUCUGCACCUUCAUCUUGUCUUCGAGUAUAACCAUAUGUAAUCAAAGAUCUCAAAUGGCAUCAGAAGCAAAUACAAAAAGGAACCAAAGAUCUGGACUAGAUAAUAGAAAAGCAAGAAAUAUUAAAUUCCCGAAUGACUUGGUUUGUAGACCAUGUUUCAUAUCAAAGAAUUCAAAAAUUCUAUCAUGCACAACCAAACUGUAGAUAACUAGAUCUAAGAGAUGAGAGGAAACUACACAGAAAUGAUUUUAAGAUUACUCAUUCAGUUGUCAAUUGAAAAUUUCAUUGCCAUUUCCUACAGGUCAGAAUGCAAAAUGUAGGACACAUGCCACUUGUUCAUUGGUAGCCAAAAUCUUGAGCCUACGGACUACACUUUGUUUUCUAACUUUCUGUUUGGCUCCAAGAGAAAAAGAGGCAACAGAUAAAACAGACCAACCCUAUAUGUUUCUAUUGAAGAAAGGAUGUUUAUAAAUACAAGCAACUGCUAGGGCAUUUCAAUCAAAGACAUCUUUUUCAAAUCCCUGGAUUUUAACGUGAGUCAUAACAAGAGGGAGUAGCAAUUGUAAGCGGCUAGCAAAAAGGAUUAACUUUAUGGCUUCACAGUUGUGUGCUCCUUGGGCUACUUUUGCAUACUGGAAACUGAGCCAACUAUUUUAAACCAGAAAUAUUCCUUGUAUUUGUUUUUUAUUUUUAUUUUUUAUUUUUAUGUUUUAGAUGUUACCUAUUCUCUAAUCUUGUAAACCGUUUGCAGGACGUUUGGAUGAAUCAAGUUCUGAUAUUGCUUACUGUCACAUGGAAAACAUUGACUUGCAUGAUAAGGUGCAGAUUCAGGAAAACUGUGUAAAUGUAGAGGAUAGUGUACUUAGUGCUAUUUCUCACAGAAUAAGAAAGCAAAGAUCAUACAAGGUAUACUCCACCUCUCCUUUGUUGAUGUUAUAAUUAGUUAAAGGAAAUGCAAUUUAGAAGUAGAACACAGCACACAUCAUUUCACAUUGGCAUUUGAAUUACUUGAUAAUAUGCUCCUGUAUUCUUUUUGAAGAAUUGCAUAUUAAUUGGGAAUUCGUCAUAGGAUUGGACAAGUCACAUAACAGAAAUGUCAUAAGAACCAAUGGCUUAUCCAACAAAAAUUUCAAGUUCUGUUGAAGAAAGAAAAUUAAGCUUGUGGUUUCUAGCAAGAUGAGAUUUACUAAUACCAUGUUAAAGUCAAUUACAGAAACAAAUCCAGGAUGCUUUUUCAUCAAAGAAGAGGUUGGUGAAGGAGUACGAACAGCUAGCGAUUUGGUUUGGAGAUGUUGGUUUAGAUUCCAGCCAAGAAGCAAACUCUUACAAGGACAAUUCGGGAACUCAUCAGGCAGGUGACUCUGAGUGGGAGCUUCUCUAAGCAAUAUAAUUUGUGUAUGUAAUUAAAUGAAAUUGGCGAUUGGACGGGUUACAAGGCUGCCAACCAAGAUUUGCAUGAACGUUUCGUGUGGGACGAGUAAUAUGCAUGAAUAGAGGAAUAGCUGGCCUUAGCGCUCUGGUGAAUUUGCCCAUCUCUGCUACAAGUGUGGAUAAGAAUUUCAGUCCCCUUUUUGUAGUUUCAAAGUUUUUAUUUUCUGCUGAAGUUUUGAUUUUUAAGGUGUUUUGGGUUUGAUAUAGUGUUGGGAGGGCAUUAUGGGAUGUGUUUUGGUUCUUAACGUUAGGUUUUAUGUGUUUUUUGAUUAAAGUUUUGAUCUUUACUUUUUGGGGGGGUUUUCGGGUUUGGACCAAUUGCAUUUGUUCAUGAGCUAGCUGCUGGUUUAAUGUCCAGGUAAGCUUCUGCUUUGGUUGAUUGGUCGAACUUUGGUGUGUGCAGUUCUUUUUUUUUCAGGGUUUCUUAUGCGUACCUAAAUUUAGCUCAGAGUCUGAUCAUGUAUUUGCAGGUGGGGUUUUUGGGAUUCAAGGAAGACUUGGAUAAGGAACAGGAGUCGAAUCUGGAGCUGUAGUCAUGCUUUGACUACUCUACAGGUAAAGACUUGAGCUAUUAUUUCAUGGGUAUGUAAUUGUUUUAUAUGCAAAACAAACCAAAGGCUAUCAUUGUUGAAAGACAAGUGAUCAAUCUAUUCUGAUAGUGAGAUAUGAGCACAAUUAGUAUGGCAGUCAAAGUGUGAGACACGUACGUAUUUAUAUAUAGAUUUAUAUACAUAUGUAUCUUUGUUAUAGAUAUAUUCCUGGGAGUGCAGGAGUAGAAUUGCUUCUGUACAUGAAGAAAUUAAAACUACUGCAAGUACAUCAAAAUAAAAAUAAAAAGGAACAGGAAAAGAAAACGAAAACGAAGAAGAUAAAUAAUAACAAAUUAUAUACCAGAAUUGAAAUAGAAUGCAUUACAUGGUGUCCCUUCAUAUGCAUUUUUCUGAUGUCUUCUUUAGUUAUUGUUUUUUAUGUUUAGUUGGUUAAUGUCAAUUUCUUUCUUCAGAGGCUGGAAGAAGAGGAGAGGAGAGGCAGAAUGUAAGCAGCUGCAAAUGAGAUCUAACAAGGUUAGUUUCUUUCAACUUUCAAGUAUAUUUUCAAUGGCUAUUUGCUUCUUGACCACUGCAGAUUUAUAAAUACUACAGGGCCACCAAUGUGAUUUGAAAACUUAAUUUAUGAUUCAGUCCUUCCAUCUUUUCUAUCACUUUUAGAUUUAAUGCAUCCUUUUUAUCAUGGACAGUUUUAGGUGCUUUAGUCUAUGUAGAUACUCAAUGCCUAUUAUCUUAGUAUCUUAAUCCUCAUUUCUAAAAUCUAGCAAUUUCCUUAAUAUUGUACUUUGCUAACCGGAGAAUUGGAGUUUAGAUAAGGGAAUUUUUUUUUUUUUUUUUCACUCUGUAAAUUUUCAGUUUGAUUGUGAUUUUCUAAAUUUGAUGCAAAUUUUGUGCUUUCAGAGCCAUUAAUGGAGUAUUAGAGCUCAGUUGCGUAAGGUAAGCUGCAACAUUGGAAUACUUGCUAGGGAGGUUAGAGCAGUAUGAGUAGGAUAUGGAGGAAUAUCAUCUAAAAAGAUUUUUGGACUUGCAUUUUGAGGUAAGAUUUCUUCUUCCAUCCUAUAGUGUUUUUGCAUUAUUGUUUUUGUUUCAUUGCAUUUAUGGGCUUCAAAAACUGUUCCGACCUUUCUCAUAUUGAUGCAUGUAUAUUGCAAAUGUAGCAUUGAAUCUACUGUACUUUAGGUAUAAAAUGCUUAGAAAUUUAUCCUAAGCCAAAAUCCAAAUGGAAAAUUUGAAAAUCAUGCGAUUUUGCUUUUCAAAUUCAAGUUUAAGAACUGAGAGUUAAUAUCCAGUUACAUCAUCGAAAAAAAAUCCAGUUCGUAAAAAAAGUUUGAGAUGCAAGGAACUGGUACGCUGUUGUGUUCCAUAUAUUCCAGUUUCAACAGUACCAAUAUUUCCGCAAUGAAACAUAUGUUCAAGGGAUAGGUUACGCAACGAUAUGGGGCAAUUGAUGUGGAGCAUAGUUGUGUUUUUAGUUCCUAUUUUCAAUGCUAAAAUAUGCUUUUGGAUAUGCAGGUUCAUUCAUCAAUACGUGGUGGAAGAACAAUUCUUUUAUAGGUAAAUUUGACAAUCUCCAUAGGUGCUUAGUCAUUUUUUGGGAUAAGUAAAAAGGUUCCAGAUUGGGUGUAUGAAACACUAUCAUAUCUGGAUUACUGAUUUGCACUUGCUAGAGUUGUUAAGACACAGAGCUGGCUUUCAAUAUCGGUUAAAUGUACUUGGGCUAAGUUGAAUUUUCUGCAUCCCAUAUGGCUUUUUAUGUCAGGCACCAAACCACAUCUUGUGUUGGGCUCAAGCACAUAUAGAAACGGCCAUAAACUGCCCCUGCCCUUAUGUAAAUUAUAUAUUCUUAUUGUUUCAGUCUUAACCAACAAUUGCUGAAAUCAUAUGUAAUUUCAGUUUUCUGUAUUUCUCUCUGAAAUUUCUGUAUAUUGCUAACUCUCCAAUACACCUACCAAAAACCCCACCACAGCAAUGGGCGGAUGCUUUUCUAGUUAUGUAAUACAUGUAUGCUUCCUGAUUUGGUUUCCUGUUAAAUUCUUUGUUGGUGACAUCGGACUAUGUAAUGCAGAGCCGCAUAUGAGAAGUCAGUUUUCUGCGAUAUGUUUCAUUUAGGGGAAACGGGUUGGAGGGACUGCAGUUUGUGCCACAAGGUCACUGGCAUUUUGAUCAUUUUUUUUUUUUUUUGAAAUUCCACCUCCCCUUCUCUCUUUAUUGAUUUAUUUCUUUAAUUUUCUGCAGCCUCUCCACUGUGGAUGCGUAGCCUCUAGGUCUUUAUAUGAGUGCCUGGAUUACGGGGGUGUAGGGUGCAUUGGCUGUGCAAACCGUUCUCAACCUCGUGUGGUAUGAACAAUUACUAUUUUGAUAUCCACUGAAUUAUAAAUUUUGUUUAAACCCCCGCUAUAGCUUCCAUAAUUGAUAUAUAGCUUUUGUUUCUCUGAUGAAUAUGUAAUCAGUUGUUUGUUGUCAGUUACAAUCUAUAUCUCUCUCACACACAAAACCUGCACUUACAAACUGAGACCGGAUACAUGAUGCUUAUGGGUCUUGUUUUGUUGUGUGCAGUUCCUAAGGAAUGAUGUCUAAGCAUUGGCCUUUUGUUUUAUUCAUUUGGUUAUUGUUGUGUUUACUUAUGUCAUCUUGAAGAUGAGAUCUUUAUUUGUUUUUAUGUGCUAAAGAUUUGAGCUUUAGUAUCACAAUUUGACCAUUUCUAAUUCUGUAUAGGCUAGGCAAAACGUGCUUGAUGAUUUGCAGUUGACGCUUUCAGGGUGUGUUGAACUUAAUUUUAGCCGGAACUUGCCUGCAGAGUAGAGAACAUUGUGUGUGCUCUGGAUCCUGGCUGCAAGGAGCAGCUGCCACAGUUACCACCAAAAAUACGGUGAAAGGUCAUAGUAUUGAUUUAGUCUUGGAGAGUGAGUGACUUAAAUGUUAUUUACUGCAUCUUAUGGCUGCUACCUUUUUCUGAUUGUUAUUGUCGCCUGCAUGAAACUUGUUCUAUUUCAGGGUAUUCAAGCGUGCAUCACGAAUAAAUGCAAACAGGCUUGAUCUUGGUGGGAGAUUUAGAGUGGCAAAGGGGGAUGCUGGGUGUAAAGAGUCUGUCUACUGGUGAAACAAGGGAUCAAACUUGGUGGUUGUACUGUUUUCUUUUUAGGUAGGCUCAGUUCAUUAUUCUCCCCCAAUCUGUCAUAGUUUUCAGUGAAAAUAUUAAUGAAAAUGGCUGAUUUUUGUACUGUUGGUUUUAAUAAAGUUUGUUGCUUGUUUUGUAUGGGCAUGUUCCUUUUGUGCGACACCUAAGAAUUUACCCAGACCAAGCUUAUAUGCACUGGGAAGUGUUUCAAUAUAUGAACACAUGAGCACAAACAAAUUAGAUUUUUACCGCUUGCUUUAGAUCAGUAGUUGGUUAAGAAAUGUGCAGAGACCACUUUCCAUUAAUGUGAAAGAAUUAUUGUUACUGGCUUCCCUUGGAGUGUAGACUCUAUGAAAUGAUAAUUGAAAUGUUAGUGGGAUUAUUGUUCUCACCUCUUUCCAUUUUCACUCCCCUCCCCCUCACAGAAAGGCUGUUUCUGAACCACAGUUUCACAUUCAUUAUGCCGUCCCCAAAAUCUGGAAAUUGUACUCCGAUUUGAUUGCACCGGUCGCUAGACUUUUCAGUGCUAUGUGUUGGUUUUGGUCGGCCGAUUAUUGAAUUGAACUUCCAUACACAGCUUUAUGAGAUGGUUCUCGUCCUCUUCCUUUACUUCAUUGGCUUCUAACACAAAGUUACUCCCCUUGACCACUUUCCACUCUCUACAAGCUGGAAGUAGAUCAUCUUUCGCCUCAAAAUCUUAGUUCUAUUCUUACCCGUUAGGCCAAGAUAAGAUUUCAAAUCCUAUUAAGGUCUGAUAAUUUGGAAUGCGUCUUUCUUUUCAUAUGACUGAUGAGUGAUGACAUCAGAAAACCCCAGUCUAGAUUAAGUACUUUUCUUUUUACACGAAAUGCUGUGGACAUUUCUAUCAAUCAUUGUAAGUUAGUAAAAUGUUGUAAGCCUUCAGAUAUAGCUCUACAUUUGAAUGAUUCAUGAAUCUCUGACAAUAAGUAAUUUCCCAUUCCAUUCUAUACUUGACCAAGAUGGAAUUUCACUGUGAGAAUUGGUCAAAAACAAGGACCUACCAAGGUUAUACAGGUCAAACUUUUAUAAGUAUUAGUCAUAUACUUCCACAGGCUCAACCUAGUCCUCGAAUAUCUGAUUCCUUUCAAUAUCUGUAUCACGUUCGGUUAGGAAACUUAAAGUGUGCUGCCUUGUCUCAUUCUUGCUUUUACAUCGUUGCAACUGUUCCCGCAGGCUACUGACAACCUCAUUGAGUCUCUUAAUGUUCUUUUCUUGCAAUAAUAUGAUCUGCAACAAGAAAAUGAAAAUUUCAGGCACUGAAAAACCUCACAAGUCAUAAAAGAUCUACUGAUAUAUGUAUUGUAAAUUCACUGAAAAGACAACUGAACUCUAUGGCGUCUAAGCCUUGGUUUUAGGAUUCAAGCCAUGGUUUUAUAGGCUAAUCCAACAUAAAGUUAGUCAUAAGACUUGUGACUCAUGAGCAAUCUCUGAAAUCAGAUCUAUAAAUAUACUUAAAUGCAUAGGAAGUCUCACUAUAACAAAAGAAAAUAGAAAAGAGGAGAUAAGCCCAGCCAAUGGGUUUUUGAAAAUUUUACAUAAGAGGAUACCAUAACUUUUCCGGCAAAAAGAAAAGGAGUUUAACCAAACUUCCUCUGUUUGCUCUUGUUCUACUUCUAUAGUUUUGAGAGCUUAUAUUUUUAUCUCCCUCCAUUCUUUCAUUUCGUAGUAUGCUGCUCCUGUUCUAAACUAGGAGGGACUUCAGCCUUCCAAAUUACAAAAUAGGGAAUAAAUUGUGGAAGAGAACUAGGGUUGUAGGUAAACUUCGUUGAGUAGGAUUUACAGGAAAUCUGCCUGAAGCCUCAACAACUGCCAUCUCGUAUGUCCUCGAGCCGAGAAAAGCAUGAAGGCUCCCUAACUUCCAAGUUUUUGAAGUUCCUUCUAAACCAAAAAAUCACAAUUUCAAGGAAGAAUAGAACAUUAAGUACACGUCCUAGCAGAUAUGAAUGGCAAAAGGCUGUUUCCGAACCCAUCCCUCUCUUCCAAAAACCCUUUUAUCCUCUGUCCAUUUCACAACGAAAUGUCAACAUAUUGAAAAUGAACUAGGUCAUGGGGAGAAAGCUGUCCAGGGGGUUCAGCUUGAACCACUGAUCACAAUAUUGGGAUCCAGCCAUUAGCAUGCAUCACAUAAUUAUUUCUGAGUGAGUGCCACAUAAUUAAUUCUUUCUCACUGACAUCUCCAUAACCACUUCAGAAGAAGAGCUUCGUUCCUCUUCACCACUUUUCCCCACCAUCCCCAAACCCCUUUCUCCUUUACUUGAGAAUCACCCCCCAAUCAAUUUAGCUAUCCCUUCUUCCUUCCUCUUUUGAUUCCACAUUCCACAUUCCACAUUCCCCAUUCCCCAUCCCCAAAUCUCCUCUCUUCUUUAUUUUUGAGAAACUACCUCCCAAAUUAUUAAAAGAUACCAUCUUCCUUCCACCCCUAACCACCAAAAAACAAAGUGGUUCAGUAAUCUAUCUAACAUUUAAGCCACAUCGCUUGAAAUUAAAGUUAAUCGUUGCAAACUACUAGGAACAGAUUGGAGACUGAAGUUACAGGAGUGUUUCUAGAGCCUUCUAACUAUCUUCCCCGUUCUCCACCUCCGGAUCCCAAAAGCACCUCCAAAAGGCAGCCCCAAUUUCAUAGUAGGCCAAUUUCCCAAACCAAUCCCAAAAUAUAUUUUAGCUCUUCCACUCUCACCUCUUGCAGAGUAAUUAACAAUUUCAUAUAUUAAGUUUCUUCCCAUAGAAGACACACAAAGAUUCACACAUUCGGUAAACUACACAAAUUCUGAUCAGCACUGAAAGAAAAAGAUGGCAUCAUUGGCAAACUAUAUGUGAGAGAUCCCCACUCCUUGCCUUCCUACUUUCAGUGCUUCUAUCAGUUGCAUGUCCCAUGGUCUUUUAACCAAUCCACUCACAACAACCACCAAAAUAUAUACAAAAGGCCACGUCAAGAAACUUCAUAGAAAAUACAGGUUCAAUAUUUUAAUUCCUUUGCGACUGCUCAUACUCAUGCUUACAGUAAAGGAAAGUGUCAAGUAUAUGGGAUUGGAAACUAAGCACAGUCCUAAUUUAGGAUUGAAAACGAAUAUCAACGCACCAGAAAUCCUAGCUCCUAGGUAUCAUACAAAGCAACGCAGUGGAACCAAUCUGAAGUACCACAACAGACUGAAGCACAAGCAUGCCAAUGGCCACCUGCACUCUGCUCACAAGGUCCAUCCCUAUGCUACAUGCCAAGAUAAAUUUGGAGCAAAUGAAAACAAAAACCUUGUCUGUCAUGCCUUGUUUUGCAUGUCUAGCAUUAAUAGCUUGUAUUAGUUUAAAUAUGUGUUUUCGUUUGUAAUCAACAAUCUACUUCAAUCAAACAAUUCCAUUUCUCUUCAGAAAGUACCCCCAUGAAGACUUCACUGCCUAACGGGAAUCUUUUAUAAUUAAGUAUCACUAUGCAUGAAAGAACAAUCUAUGUACAGCACAAAUAAACCUAGAGUGUUCUUUUUCUGUUCUUUUUUUUUUUUGUCUCACAGGUGAUUCUGUGUUUGGAAAUUAACACCAGAGAAAUAGAAGUUGCCGCUGAUAUUAGAUCUCCCAUACAGUCAAGAGGAAUACAAAGUGGUUUCUUGUUUUUCUUCGGAGGAAAAUCGUAUAUCUUUGGUGUCAAUUAAUAUGCACGAGCUCUAGCACCUAGGUUUAUUUUAAAAAAAAAAACAUAAAAAAGAAAACGAAAUUCAUCACGAAAAAUGAAAAAGACAUUGCACCAUAAGCAUUAACAUUUCCAAACCAAACUUUAUCAAAAUAUUAAUGCAAAACAAUACUUAUUACCUUCUCUUUUACAGCUUCUUCCCUCUUUGAGCUCUCACUUGGCUUUUGCGAGAUACUUGGAGUUGCAUCAAGGUCAGGGACAAGUUGUUGCUUCCACUCAAACUGGGAAGUGAUUAUGAGAACAACUAGAAGAAAAACUAGCAACACCGGUCUUGACAUCAUUCACAGUCAAAAAACCUGUUUCAAAUACAAGGGAAACAAAACAAGCAUCAAAUAUCAGAGUUGGAAACUUGGAAUUCACUAUAUCCCUCCUUUCUAACAAAAAUCUUCAGUCGAAACAAAUUUGAUCAAAGAAACACAAGUUACAUCCUAUACUCCAUUACAUAUGUUGUUCUAGUUUCUAGUCUUGGAAAAGAUGCAGAAACCAAACUUAAAGCUCCAUUUAUCUUACUAUUUCAUUUCGUUCUUUUUGCGUGCGGCAUUGCAAUGUGUUUUUCUUCUUCCGAAGAAGAGAGAUACUGGAAGACCCAAAAGAGAUUCUAAUAUACAAAGCAGUAGAACCCCGCCAAGUCUGGACUACCUAGUUGUUGAAUCACCUAUGAGUGAAGGAUCAACGAGUAAAUGCAGAGGUAUCGAUGAAGCUGAAGGAAAUGUUUUCCAGUGAACUUCCUUCUCUUAGAAUUUUAACUUCAAGUUACCACAAAAUCAAGAACGAUUUCUGUGUUCCAGUAUUAAACAAAAAGACUAAAGAGCUAAAAAAAAUCAAGAAAUGCCCCAUGCUUUUUAAAAAACUGAAAUUAUUGUGGAAAAAAAAUUGCUUGUAUUGAAAUUGCGAAAAAAGAGAAAGAAAAAAGGAAAGUAGAACAAGGUGGAGAAGGAGUCUGAGAUAUGGAAGACAAUUAGAGAUUUGGCUGAUUUUGCAAGGAAGGUUACACAAAAACAAUGAUGAUUUGAAGUAUGUAAUAAAACUCCUGUUGGAGUUAUUCCACACAUUAAGCAGUGUCUGAGUCUGCAAUCAAACAAGAAUAGAAGAACAACUCCACCUUGGGAUUAUGAAUGAAAAGAGAGAUUCAAUUAGACUAUGACUAGCUCAAUCUCAUGAUUCUCAUCUGAAAUGGUAAUCCCAUAUUAGGUGCAGAUAAAUUCGAAACAAUACAAUUAGCCAAAUGAUCGAAACGGUAAAUUGCAUUUGAUAUUAUUCACAGAAAACAAGUAAAAUUCAAGAACCGGAAAUGAACUUACAGAUUGGCGUCGGCAACAAGACUACAAGAGCAUGGAGUUGCUUCGAACUGGGUAUUGUUGCUUUGGAAAGCUUCUGCAAUUUUCAAGUUUUGCUUCCAGACAAGGGAUUCCACUCUUGGUUGUUUCUACUCUUACAAAAUUUUACUUUAAGGGACUUUAGUUACCGUGGGUAAAUAAUAUCAUUCACAACCCUAACGAUACCGCAUUCGAUUUUUUUUUAAUUUUUUUCUUUCGAUUACCUCUAAUUAACAACGUCUAGUAUAAGAACGGCAUUCGAACAUUGAGUCAAAAUCCUAGAAGUGUGUAUGAAUUGUUGUCAGUGAGUUGUUACAUGUUUGUUGAUAACUUUGUAAGUCUAGGAGGACCGUGAUUGAAGAGUAGAGUUGAAAUAUUAUAGUAACAGUAAUGUUCACAUUGUCACCUAGUGACUAAAGAAAUUAUGGUCAAUCAUCGUUAAAGUAAAUCUAAACGUGAGAAGUAUCAUUUUAAAGGGAAAAUGCCUAUUUAGUAUUAAUUCAAACCCCUUAUUUCUCAUUCUAAUGAUAAUCUUUUGCAUUAGCCCAUUCCAAUAUAAGGUAACCAUUUUUAUGCCCAAAUGCACAAAUCUUUACUAAAAUCUUAACAAACCAUAUUAUUUUAAGACUAUUUUGCCCCCACCUCUUCAACAUGAAAAGACUUGGCCGGAACCUCGGACUCCUGUCACCGGCCGCCGGACACCGGACUCCGGUCACCGACCGCCGGAUUCCGGUCACCGGAAUUUCCCCAACCGCCGGAUUCCGGUCACUGAAAUUUCCCCAACCGCCGGAUUUCGGUCACCGGAUUUUCCUCUGUAACCAGUUACUGACCCCCAAUAAUCAGUUACUGACCAGUUAAUGACCCAUAAUAACUAGUUACUAACCCCCAGUAACCAGUUACUGACCCCCAAUAACUUUUAGUUUUCAGUUACUGACACCCAGUAAUCACUUAGUUUUCAGUUACUGACCCCUAAUAAUUUUGGUUACUGACCGGAGAGGAGAGAACUGAGGAACCGGCCCGACGGUGAGCACCCACAUUUCUUCUCUGGGCACCCACCUUCCCCGACGGUGAGCACACCGGCCUCCUCCACCGACCCCGGCGCACGCCGGCAAGCAACGACCUUCCAGGGGAGUAGGAGAAGCGGUGAGGCAGCUUAGAGUUGGUUUCCAGGGCUGUGCGGUUGCGGGUGAUUUUGCGGAAGCAGACGAGGAGGAAGAGGAGGAGGGAGAAGGCGGUGGUGGCGGCGCCGGCGAGUGGGACGACGAGGUUGGGCUGCGGCAGAAGAGACGACGGCGACGGCGCCGGGGACCGGGUGAUUGGGCGCUGCAGAAGGUGGAUCGGGAAGAGAAGGUGGCCGGAGUUGCGGAAGCAUUCGAGGAGGAAGAAGAGGAGGGAGAAGGCGGUGGUGGCAGCGCUGGCGAGUGGGACGACGAGGUUGGGCUGCGACAGAAGAGACGACGGAGACGACGCCAGGGACCGGGUGAUUAGGCGCGGUAGAAGGUGGAUCGGGAAGAGAAGGUGGUCGGAGGAGAUGAAGUAGCGGUGCUUGUGUGGGCAGCUAGCGUCGGAGGAGGAGGAGGAAGAGGAGGAGGAGGAGGAGAGAGAGAGAGAGAGAGAGAGAGAGAGAGAGAGAGAGAGAGAGAGAGAGAGAGUAGAGAGAGAGAGAGAGAGNNNNNNNNNNNNNNNNNNNNAGAGAGAGAGAGAUAAGAAGAAGAAGAAGAAGAAGAAGAAGAAGAAAGAGAUAAAAACUGUGUGGAUUUAAUUAAACACAGGGUAAUAACGUCUUUUUCUCAAGAAUCAUUGGAAUGGGCACAAGGAUAAGACUUUAAUUGAAAUGGGUUUUAGUUUUUAAAUAUUUAGGCAUUAGGGCAUUUUCCCUAUUUUAAAAACAAGUUGUUUUAUUUUCUACCUUUAAAUUUAUAUCCAAUAAUGAUUGAUCAUGAUUUUCUUAGUCACUAGAUGAUCAUGUGAACACCAUGCAUCAUAGUAAAUACCCGGCUCAUUUUACUUCACUGUGUUAUCUCUCGACGUCCUAGUCACAUCAAGUGCUUUCAUUCUAUUGAGCAACUAUGCAUCUUGUUUUUGUUGAAUACUGGCAACACAAGUUACACAAAUAGGAUCGUCUAUCAGCAACAACCGAUUUUAUUACGGGACAGCUCAUGAUGUUCAUAUCGAUCUAUUAUGCGCCUUUGGGAUAAGGGCAAUGAAGAUAUGAUUGAGAUCCUACUAGUCCUUUAUGUUCUAGUAGGAAAAGUUUUAGUCUGCGUUGGUGAAUGGAAGCCCGGAGUUGCUCCACGUAUUGCUUGACGGUUCGCAAUAUUUUUUCCAUGACAUUUAAGAUUGCAUUUUGAUGUAACCGUACUCGUUAGAACUUAGAACUACGCCACCAGACUUCUCUUCUAAAAUUAAAAUCCAAAAUCCAUUAUCUUCCUCAUAUAACAUCCGCAGAAUCGGCAGAAAUAUGUAUCCCAUAGUUGGUUGUGUUUCGGUUCAGGGAUAAUGUGUAUGUAGCACAAGAACAUGGUGCUUAUAAGAUUGCUUCAUAAUACAGAGCACUGAACACUCCCUGUCAUACUACUGCUGCAGAGAAUCCAUACUGACUUUUCCUGGGUAUGAAGAAGCUGUAUCAAAUUUCAAGAGAACUCAUCUGUUUCUUGUCUUGACAAACUGUGGUCUUGAUGCCUUCUUCUCCAUCUUUUCCCUCUUCUUUCGUGUCUUUUCAUCCUCCACGCCUCCCUAAUUACAUAAGGUGCUUUACCAAAUCAUACAGAACAUAGAAAAUCUAUAAACUAUUCCGUCAUCCAAAUUCAAGAGCAAAAGAGGGUACCUCUGGACCUUGGGACAUAAAUCCUCUAAAGAAACCAAAUGAUUUGUAUGCUCCAAAACCUGGUAUCUGCAAAAACGAUAAGCAGAAUGUAUCCUAAGACGUCAUUGCCAAAGUCUCUGAUCAAAAUUAAAUUUUCAAACUAAAAACUCCUCCCAUAGGCAUAUGGAACCUUCUCCAAUCCUUCAAAUGUGUCAUAUAUAUAUAUAUAUAUAUAUAUAUAUAUCGNNNNNNNNNNNNNNNNNNNNUUGGUGAUCGUUAAGGCUUUCAAAAGUUCAAUUUAGUUUUAAUGACCUUCAACGGUUUUAGUUUGACAUAAGCUGGACCGUUCAAAAUCAUUAAAACUAAAUCAAACUUUUGAAAGUCUUAACGAUCACCAAAUCAUAUGAAAUUUUGUAGAGGUGAUCUACUCAUAUAGACCUAAGAUAUGAACGGUGGAGAUGUAAAAAUUCAAUUGGAAAGUGGUGUAAUGCCCUAUCCCUAGAAAGUGGCCAAAAAAUAGGGAUCCCUCAAUGGAAGGGGGCUGAUAUAUAUAUAUAUAUAUAUACAUAUAUACACUUCGGUUCAUAUUUCAUCAACCAAUCUUUCCUAACUAUGAUAAUGUUCUAGGACACCUUGUAAAUCCAUCCUAGAACAAAGAAAGUUGCUAAAGACAAACAUCAGUCUGCUUACUCAUCCAUCCACUGUUUGUGGGGCCAAUACCGCACAAUGCCCAAGAGACCGCGCAACAUGCAUGAUAUUGAUAUUACCAACUAAACCAAUUAAUUUUGUAAUAAGUUGUAAAGAAAUUACGUUCUAUUCUUUAAGUUUCCUUUAGCAAGAACAUCAUGAAUUGACAAGUCUUUGACAAAACAUACAAGCAAAAUACUAUCAGAAGCAUGUCAGUGCAGGACAAAAAGAAAAAUGGUUAGUCAGGUCUUACCAGCAAAUACGUGUACCAAAAUUUUCCAGAGAUUAUGGACAUGACUUGCACGAAGCUUGUAAUGUAGAUUACAUCAUGUAAAUAGCUGAACAGUAAGACAACCCAAAAAGUCAAGAUUUUACAACAAAUCAGAUUAAUGUGUGCGCAUAAGCCUGCGUGUGCAAUUUUAUUCGACUUUGUGUGUGUGAGUGUAAGUUGACUACAUAAGUUAAUAAGCUUGGUAUUAUAAACACAAUACAUAUUACAUUUCUAAAUUUUUUAAAGCACCUAGGUUGUUAACUAUUACACGUCAAUAAUGUAGCAUGAGAAAAGAAUGAAGUUCAUGGUCUCUACUAAUUUAUUUGAUAUCUAUCAGAUGAAACACUGUAUCCACGUGCCAAACAAUGAAUCUCUAGAAAAAUAAUAGCUACAGUGCUGAAUGUAAGAGAACUUUCAGUUAAGCACUUAUCAUACAUAAUCAACAGAAUAUGGUAAAGAGAUCAAAAUCCGUGGUCCUUUUUUUAUCUAAUGUAGCAGUGUAUGUGAAGAAUUUUAAAGCUCUUGUAAACUAUAAGAAAUCAUUGAUUGGAAGGACAUACCCACAAACUCCACCAGUGGACAUAUCAAAUCCACCGUCUAGAAGCUCACCAUCAUCAGAAUAAGAAGGUUUUGCCAUUUGGGUGAGUUGUUGAUAAGGAAUAUAAUAAGCUACAGAUGUCAGCAGCAAAGCAACCCAGUUUUUCCAGGUAAAAGUAGAAUGGAAGAUGAGCAUCCUUACUACCACAUAAAUCACCUACAUCAAGUCACCAACCGAGCAUCAACAUCACUCUGCUCACCAUAAGUUUUAACAUAUAUCACUUAUUUAUACUCAACCAAAGUCCCAAAGCUUACAUUGCAGGCCAGAAUCAAGCGACGAAUAUUAGCCAUGUGCCGAGCAUUCUCUUCCUUGCGCUUUUUUGCUCCUUGAUUUGCCAUCUCUCUCUACGCCUCUGGACUUCUCUACCAGAAUCUGACAAUGUAAUAGGAAAACAAUAUCAGAUGGACAAGCUUGACCCCUUAAACUAGGCAGGCUAUGGCUUAGCCCCAAAGCUUAUGAGUUAUGAGAAUAUUUUUUCCUUCAUGAAAUAGACCUUNNNNNNNNNNNNNNNNNNNNNNAAAAUAGAAAUCCGCACCAAACCAUGGUGUGGACGUCCGCAGUUAAGAAGGCCUGUAUAUAUAUAUAUAUAUAGAUAUAUAUAUAACCUGCUAAAUAAUACAAGUAAAUCUAUCCCCAUAAAAUGUCUAUUCAUAUGAUUAUACAAUGACUUAGUAAAACCAAUGGUAGUGUAUUAGAUUUUAACCAACUUGAGAAAGAAAGUAAAUAAAAAGCCCCUACACAGUUUCGGACAUGCUAAUGCAGAAACUAUAGCCGUCACUAUACAAGACAAGGUCAGCACAGAACAAUAGAUGACGAUUAUGGUAUAAUUCCUUCAAAAAGUAAAAUUUAGUUUCUAACAAAAGUAAUGAGAAAAAGUAAAAUUUAGUUUCUAACAUGAUACAGGAAUUUACACAAAGAUUGCAUGACCUCAGAGGUGGCAAAAUAACAUUUUCAGUACAAAAACACUACAGAAAAAGAUAUCCCAAAAACACAAUGCUACACCACAGCGGCUGCUAAGUUAGCAUCAAACGAAACCUAUAUUAUUUAGAUUCUCACAUAGAAAAUCUGAUGUGGCUCCCCAACCCCAAAGUCCUUUACAAGACUCAAGUCUUAACCGUUGGUGAUUUUUGAUUUUACAGAAAGAAAACUAAACCCUCCACAAUCCCGUGUGAGUUUUAUACACAGUUGAGUAACACAGAGAACUAGGUAAGUCCUUGAAACCAACUGAAUUGCCAUCAUAGGGAACCAACAAACAGAACAACUUCUCAUCACCAUAACUUCCAUAUUUCUCAAUCAAUUUAAGCGUGUAAUAUAUUGAUUUUAUACUACUCAAGAAGCCCAACAAGUCUGUGCAAACAGUUCACGAUUUAAGGACUAAUAAGGAUAUUUAAGUUACCAAUAACGAAAAUUUCGACCAAAAUUUAUAAGAAGAGAAAUCCAACCGAACCCAUUCAGUCAACCAAGCAUUCCUAGGAUUCAAAUUCUUAUCAAUAGAAAGUGAAAAUCUCAAUGGCAAACCAACAGCUCUAAGAAUAAUCGAGACAAAGAAAGAGGGAAAGAAAAUAAACGGUAAUCACUGGACUACCAAAUUUUGAAAGUUUUCUCACCUCUAACACCCUGCUCCAAAGACAAGCCUUCAACUUUUCUCCCUUUCUUCCAAAUCGCCGGAGCUCUCCCUAUCCCCUGAAGUAAAUCGGCAAAACAAAGGCUCCCAACAUCACUCAAAACCGCUCAUGGAGUUUUUUUUNUUNNNNNNNNNNNNNNNNNNNNCUCUCUCUCUCUCUCUCUCUCUCUCUCUCUCUCUCUCUCUCUCUCUCUCUCUCUCUCUCUCUCUCUCUCUCUCUCUCUCUCUCUCUCUCUCUCUCUUCGUCUUCCUCCUCCCUCUCUUCUUCGAUCUCGAAUAUCCGACCAUGGCGGCGUCUCAGGCCAACACCAGCUCGACGACGAUAGCUCGGCGCUGCUUGAUAGAUGAUGAGGAAGUAGGCUCAACCUCGACGUCGCCAGAUCGACGACGAAGCCUUAACCUCAACCUCGACGCCGUCGGUUCGACGACGAUGCCUCGACCUCGACGUCGUCGGAUCGACGACUACGCACCUUGACCUCGACGUCUAUUACGUCCAAUUCCAUCAAUGACAACUUCUGAUUUGACCUCGACGGGAUCUCUGAAACCAAAUGGCUCGCCGGCUCAUCCUCGUGGCUCGUCUGGUCCUUGACGGCUAUGAUCGCCUUCCGCCGGCGAUUCGAGAUCCGUAUAGCUUAGUCGCCGCUGCUGACUCGAUGACAAGUCCUGGAUGACGCCGCUUCGAAGAUGUCGCUCUUAUUGGAGGUGACUGUUAUGGUAAAAUUCUAAGUGUAAAUUUGCUACAAUUUGUUUCUUUGGUUUUGAGAAAAUAUAAACAAAGAUUAGGAUGAUGUUUUUUGUUAAUUUGAUAGUGAGUGAGAAAUCAUGCACAUAAUCAUGUUAUGAUAAUGUAGGAGAUGAAUGGAACGAGAUUAAUAAGUAUGUUUCGGCCUCAUUGUAUGAUAGCAUAUUUUGAACAAUGCGAUAGUACAUUUUCAUCAUUGUGAUAGUAUAUUGUCCCCACUAUGAUUGUCUAUUUUUGACACAUUGGUAAUAGCUUUCAUUAUGCUUGGUAGUAGAUUUUGUUGCCGAAAACAUUAGCUAUUGGUUUUGUUUGGAGGUAAUAGUUUUUGUUGAUGGUGGUAGUAGUUUUUGUUGAUGGUGGUAGAAGCUUUUGUUACUUGCGGUAGCGGUAGUAGUUUUUGUUGCUGAUGACAAUAUCUUUUGUGACUUUGUCAGAGGUCAUUGGAAAUCUCACUGUAGUAACUUUUGUGGCUGGGGGUAGUAGCUUUUAUAGUUAGUGAUAGUAGCUUUUUUUGUUGGUGACAGUAACUUUUGUUCUGCUUGGUAGUAGUUUUUCAUAUGCUCGGUAGUAUCUUUUAUAAGUGGUGAUAGUAGCUUUUGUUCUAUCUUGUAGUAGUUUUUCAUUUGCUCGGUAAUAUCUUUAAUAGCUAGUUAUAGUAGCUUUUUUUGUUGGUGACAGUAGUUUUUCAUAUGCUCGGUAGUAUCUUUUAUAGCUGGUGACAAUAUCUUUUGUGACCUCCGGAGGUCAUUGAAAUCUCAACAUAGUAGUUUUUGUUAUGUUCAAUAGUAUUUUUUGUUGCUGGCAAUAGUAUCUUUUGUGACCUCGCCGGAGGUUGCCGGAAAUCACACCAUAGUAGCUUUUAUAGCCGGUGGUAGUAGCUUUUAUAGCCUGUGGUAGUAGCUUUUGUUGCUGGUGACAGUAUCUUUUGCAAUCGUCAGUAACAUUGUCGGAGGUCGGCAGGAAACUUUGUCUGCAGUCGGCUGGAAACUUUGUCGGAGAUCGGCCGGAGACCCGCCGGAGGUUGGCCGGAGAUCUCGCUUGAGGUUGGCCGGAGAUGAUAGUAGGUGUUGACUUUUUACAUUAGUGGCAUUUUUGUAAAUAUAAAAAAGAAAAUCUUUUUUUUUGUUGGAUGGCAGUCUGUAAUUAUGUUGAACUUUAAUACCUAAUACAAAACCUUAUUUAGGCUUGGGUGGACUUAUGUGAGUAAAAAUGUUGGGGUGGACCUAUGUGGGAAAAAAUGUCUCAAAAUGGACUUAUAUAUAAUUAGCCCAAAAUUAAACCUCCCCUCUUUGUAAAGGUACGUGAGUUAUUUAAUAAAAAGUUAAAAAAAAGAGAAAUUAUAAAUACACACCUCUAAUCUCUUAAUACACACCUCUAUUAUUUUAUAUUUCAGAUCAUAUUUAUAUGUAUGUUUAAUUACAAAAACAUUCAUCAAUUACUAAGGAAAAAAAGAAAGAAAAAAAAACUUCAUCUUCCCUAAAACAUAGCUCUCUUCACUAUUACUAUGCAUCAAAAGAAAAGAAAUAAAAAAACCUCUUCUCCAAAAUUCAUCACCUGAAUUUCGACUACUGUCGUAAUCACAUGUACUAUUUGCUGAUUCGUUUGAUUUUUUUUUUAUCAACUUUAGUUUUUAUCUUGCAGACUAAAAACUAGUUUUUAUGCUAUUGUAAUUCUAUAAGUUUCUUAACUUUGAAAAAAUUAUAUAUGCUCAAUAUUUUAUUUUUUUUCAAAUUCUAACUGAUUAAUGUCGUAUUAGAGAUUUGGAGUUCGAAUAUAAUAUUAUUAUUUUGAUUAUAAAUUGAAAAUAUGAAGAAAAAAAUUUCUAACCUGAUCAAAAAACUAACAGAAAAUAAAAGAGAAUACGUAAAGAGAGUUGUGAAUAGUAAAUAUAUAAUAAUUAUAUUAAAUAACAGAUUAUUAUUAGUUUUAGAUACUGAGGGUAUUUUAGGCAGUUUGAGAUGUGUAUUUAGUAUAAUAUUGAAAUGAAAAACUAGAUAGGUAGUGUAUUAAGUAAGGGGUAUGUAUUAAGAGAUUAGGGGUGUGUAUUUAAAAUUACUCUAAAAAAAAAUAAAACUUUUUUGGCUUCUGUUAUAGAUGAUAUUAAUACACUAUUUGUUUUGUUUAAUUUUAUUUAAUUAUAAAGUUACUUGCUUGAUUUACAUAUUGAACGGAGAGAAAAUAUAAGUAGGAUGAUGCCUUAAUUAUGUUGUUUAACCCUUGCAUCUUCUGAUUUGAUAUACAACUCAAAAAGCUAGUAUUAGGAUCAAGAGAAAAUCUUACGUGCGACGGCCGUGCCACGUGGACGGUGCAACUUACCAGUGGCAGGCCGACGCGUGUUUUUAUUUUUAUUUUCAACAGCUCUUCUUCUUCCUUCUGCUCUCUUCUCUGGAGAAACCGAUCUCUUCUCCGGCGAACCGAUCCCCUCUGGCGAAGCCAAUCUCUUCUGCUCUCUUCUCCAGCGAAACCGAUCCCCUCCGGCGAGCCAACGACGGGUGACAAGGAUUCGUGGCAGCGGGUUUUACACGGGUUGGUGGAGGCGUGAGGGAGGCGCGGCUUAACGGCCGGAGGUUUCUGCAAAGUUGUGGCAGGUUGGAGCGGUGAGGGGGCGGCUGGGUAGAGGGAAAGAACACGCCAGAGGGGAUCGGUUUCGCCAGAAAAGAGGAUGCAAGGAAGAAGAAGAGCUGUGAAAAAAAAAAAAACACGCGUCAGCCUGCCACUGGUCGGUCGCACUGUCCAUGUGGUACAGCCGUCGCACGUAAGAUUUUCUCUAGGAUCAAAUGAUUUUGACAAAUCAUGGUGUUGAUGCAGUGGAUUUGGCAUAUGUCUAACUUCUCUCAUGAGUCAUGAAAAAACUUGCUAGUGUAUGUACAUAUCAGCUAGUUAUCCUCUGAUUGACAAAAAAAAAGCUAGUUAUCCUCUGUCUUCACAUUUCCUACUGAAAUGUUUGUCUACCUCCAUACGCUGCUAGAUUUUGAGCAAUUCAACAGCUAAUUUGUUAUCAAAAUAAAGAUCAAGCACAUUUCUAUAAGUCAUAUCAUUCAAAACAAGCACAUUCUUUAUCCUUACAUCAAAAAGUAAAAUCAAGCACUUCAAAUGAGGCUCUUCAACAGAUAGGAUUGCAGGGAAAUACAAAAUAAAAAACUUAGAAAGAGAGGACAUUGCAGGCAAAAAGGAUACCAGAAUCUUUGUUUAACUACCGUUAUUUUUUACUUAAUAUAAAUUCAUAGAAAUCAGAUCGAUACAGAAUCAAUCUGCUCAAUCAAAUGUAAGUUACCAAAUUGCCAAUUGUAGGUCUGAAGUAACACAAUAAUCCAGCUACUCAGUACAAAAUAUGUUCAAGACUAGAUAAAUACAAUAAAUGCUCUUUUUCUUUCCUUGGAAAAAAAAAAAUUAAUGAAAAAGAAAACUAAUAGCAUGAAGAGUAAGGGCUAACUGGCUGUAUACUUUGUGCUGUGUUCAUUGAGCCAUGAUAUGAUGUCAUUGAAAACUUGAACUAUCAUUUCAUCCGGCUCACCCUCCAGAAGGGAAUGAUAUGCAUCCUCGUACAGGAUUAGCUUCUUGUUAGAACUGCUUGCUUUCUCGUAGAGCGCUUUACUUACAGAUGGAUCAGUCACAAUAUCAUCUUCUCCAUGAAGGAUUAAUAAUGGAAGAGAGACUUCUUCUAAUCGGCUUUCUAUCUCUUGGGUUGUAUGGAGCAUUUCUACAGCAGUCUGCAGGCGUGGGUUAUCCCUGUAAGCAAUAACAUUGUAGGCCGUCAGUUCCCGUUUCUUCAAGUCUUUAAAGGCUGCCUCAGCCAGAUUCUUUUGUGGAACCAACUUCUGCUUUGGAAGGAAUUUCGCAACACCAAUUAGGACUUGUGCUAGUAGCCAUGGCGGGGCCAUGUCAUCUGCAAUUCUGCACAUAGGUGCAACUAGGAUGGCACCAUUCCAUCCACUAGGUUGUUUUAGGUGAAUCUUAAGAGCUACAGCUCCGCCCAUGGACUGCCCGAAAAGAAAGCUUGGGAGAGUACUGAACUCAGGUUGCGUUUUGACUUUAGAAAAAUGCUCAAUGACAUCAUCUACGAGCCUUUCAAAGCUAGGAAUAUAACAAUGCAGACCUUCUGAAAGACCAAAUCCAGGGUAGUCCAUUGCAAAAACUCCAUAGCCAAAUGAUGCCAACUUCCUUGCGAUUCCUUCAAAGAAAAACGUGCAAGUAUCCCCAUAACCAUGACAGUAACAAAGUAUUGCUUUGGGCUGAGAUGUCUCUGGAAGCCAACUCUUGGAGAAGAUCUCCAAUCCCCUGGAGUUCACUUCAUAUGACUCUUUCAUUUUAAGUCCAUCAGUUGGUGUCUUGAAUAAUAUAUGAUCAAUUUUAAGCUGAAUGUCCUUAAAAGCUUCACGAACUCUCCUUCUGGCCGGAGCUUCAUCCAUGUUAGUAUCCAGAAGCUUCUGCAAUUUAUCAUCAACACCUGGCAACCUAACUUGGGGUGCCAUUACUUCUAUGCUCUUCUUUCUCUUUGUUGGGGAACAACACUCGGGCCUGAACUCCCUAGAACUCUUUAUUUUUUGGAGGGUUUCGAAAUUCAGUUGGUGUUUAAUCAUGACAGUUAAAAGAAUGACAAUUGUAAUCCGAAACGAGCAUUAAGCAGCAAGUCUUUCCGGGAGGAUGUAGUGAUGGAAGAAUUGGUGAUGAUGGUCAAAGUGCAGCGAGAUUACAGAGGUUGAUCUAAAACUCCUUUUGGGUCUCAAUUCCUGCGGCCUCUUUGGCUAAGCAGCUUGGGACUCAAAAUCUGCAGAAGAAAAAGAAUACAUGUAUAUAUGUGAAUGCCCAAAGAUAUAGGAAGAAAUAAACAGUGCAAGAUAUUUAACUAUUCCAGUAUAUAUAUAUGUUUUCCUAUUUGAUGCUUCAAAUGGUGCUCUUGUACAAGCAUCUACAUGUUUGCAUUAUUCUUCAAUUUUCUUAACAGUGACCAAAUUAGCCGGAGGACUACUGUAGCACAUUUCAGGGACUUUGUUUAUGGAACAAAUGUGAUUAUACACCAUAGGUAUUCCUACAGAUUGACUCAAACCAAAGAAGAUACAACUCUCAGAAAUUAAAUUCUACACUUCAAAAUCCCACUUCACAGUUUGUCCCUUACAUCAUGUAAGGCUAUCGGACAUCAAAACCUUAAGUUAUUUAGGGAACACACAAACAAUGUAUAUCGAUUCAAUAUUUUCCCUGCCAGACAAUCAAAAAUGUAAACAUAUAGGUACACAACCAUGUACCUUGCAAAUAACAAAUAAGUGGAAAAUGGAGAUGGGGAGCUGAACCCAAAACCUCCUGCAACUAUCACUUUCAGUCUUGUCUUCUUUUCUUUUAACUUUUGACUUUGACAAGAAUUGAAGUUUUAUCACCGAAAACAACACUAUAAUGAACUAGAGGACAGGACGUGCACUUUCACAGCACCAGAGAAAAGAAAAGCUCUAAUAAGCCUAAAGUAUAUAACUGUUUAAAGAACGAAUUUUCAAGGUAAUAACACAAACUUGAUAAGGAAUAGUAUCUGAAUUCCACAAUGAGUGAUUCCGACAAACCACCCCCCCCCCCCCCCCCCAACUCUAUAUUUUUAAAUUUCAAUACAUCUAUAUAACCCGGAAUUACUGCCAACAUUUCUUCAGCCCCAAAAGGGUUUUGACUUUCUUUCCUCCAUCUAAACCCCAGAACUGAAACAGUAUCCCCUGGCAUGCAAGGACUACGCUAAAGGUAUGGCCUACAGUGGAAUAUUGAACGAGCAAGCAUUUCUUUAGGAGGAACCUUGGUGUCCAAAUUUGAUUAAUAAAAUAUUUGUGAACUCAUAUUUAUUGUAAGGGUAACUGUUAAAAGACUUUCUCUAAAUGCCAAGACCCUAUCAUCUCCCCAGAAGGAAACUAGGUGCACCAUCUAGCUUUAAUGACAGAGAAGGAAACUUUCCAUUUCCAAAAUCUUUGAGAUUCCUAAAUCCCAAGUUUUGGAAAUAAGCAAAAACACCACUUAUUCCUUAUCACUCUAUGCCACAAGGAAUCUGGUUCCAAUUGAUAUCUCCACAACCACUUCCCAAGCUAGGUGUAAUAAUUAAUUUCAAUAAAGAUAUUAUUUCCAAUGUCUUUCAAGAAAGGUCUUGAGUUCUCUACAAGUUCCCAAGGAAGGCCUUAUAAACUUGUCACCAAGGGGAAGGGCCUGAACCCCCAUACUUUAAUAAACUCUGAUCUUCUUUGAAAUCAACCAGAUAUAUGUUUUGUUUAUCAAUGCAUUGAUAAUCUUAUAAUCAACAAUGUCAUAAGCUGGGAAAUUAAGUUUAUACUUGAUACUACUGAGAGUAAGUCUCUCCUUCAUUUACUGACAGUAAAUAGAAGUGGGAAAGAAACACACAUGGUUCAAUGGUUACAUAACAGCGAAGGUCAACUAUAUUGUGGGUUUCUAUGAGCUUGCAGUUCACUAUGAUAGCACCAAAUAGAAACUUUACAGUGACAACUCAGAAUAAGACAUAUUUUGACUUGAAGUAAUCACCUAGCACAAGCAUGGUAUUAGUAUACAGCUUAAACAAUAGCAUAUAUAAAAGGAAAGAAAAAAGCAAAAACAAAAAACCAUAAAAUAUGCAUUUCCUCCCAACCACAAGAAAGAAUUUACACAAUAGGCACAUACAUGUCUGAAAGUAAUGAGAAUGAUCAGUUCUGGAGAUAGACAAGUCACAAAUGGAAUACGAAAGCGAUUCAUUACCUUCUCCGUUAAUAGCCUCCUCCUUCUUUAUGAUCUGAUCUGUUGAGAGAUACUUGAACUUGGUCAAGGUCAGGCACACGAUGUUGCUCUAACUCAAUCUCCAAAUUGAUAAUGAGAAUCAAAAGCUAAAAGUAGUACAGCUCCAGGCAUCAUUCAUAAGAAAACAAAACCUAUUCGCAAUAAAAAUCAGAACAAUAAUCAUCAGAAACCAGCCUUGACAUUCAACAUAUCCCUUACUCUUGACAAGAAUCUUCUAUCUGUAAGGAGACUGAUUUCGCACAUGUUUUGCAUUCUAAACCUUAUGCUGUUUAGGCUUCUAAUCUCAGAAACGAAUAAAAAACAGAACAAAAGAAUCAAACUUGAACUCCAUCUGUCUCAUCUAACAAAACUUAUCUGGGUCCUUCAGAUUAUACUAGUUUAUGUUUGUCAUCUUCGCAAAAUUGUUUCUAGUUACUUUCAUCCUGUGAUUCAUCUAGGCUUCAAGUUAACAUCAAUAGAAUUUAUGGUCUCUUCUUUUAAAAACCAAGUCCUAAGAAAAGACUUGCGAGAUCUUAAUGUCAAAAAUCAUCUCAAUCCUUCUACUGCCAGUCAUCGUCAGUAGAAUAGUAGAAUGCAAACAACAAAUUCACAACGUUUUUUCAUGUCCCAUAAUUUCUUAGCCACCAAACAAAACCAAAUUCACAUUUAGACAACAAACCAUAACUCCGAAGAACUCUCAAAUCUGAUCAACUCAUCUAUGAGACGGGUCUUAAUAGACAUGUUCAAAGGAAAAUAAUUUCACUUCAGCUGAGUUUAACUGAUUUGAAUUAGGCUCUGUCUCAACCUAUACAAUUGAACGAGGAAAAGCUGUGAUUUGACUAUUUCUGGGGAAGGCCACAGAUUCAAGAGACCAAAUGGAAACAAAAAGGUGAUCACUUACAGAACAACCGAACAGUUUGAGUUGAUGAUCGGCGUCUGGAAUUGAAUGAAGUGAAGAAGCUUUCGGAUGUAGUUGGGUCCGAGACAAAAGCUUUCUGUUUUGCUUCUUCUUCUUCUUCUGGUUUGUUUUUAUGUUUUUGUUUUGAGCGCAAAUGCGACCAAAACAGAAAGUUUGAGCGCAUAUGUCACCAUACAAUUCGUACACCUUAAUAGAAACCAGACAAAAAUGGAACGCGCCCCACGCGCCAAGAGUUUGGCGUUCUGGGCUCUAGUCGGUGGAUUGCUUGGUGGCCGCCAUGGCCAAUUUCAUGGAUUUCAUUCCUAUCCUUGAUCUGCAUUUGGCGUUCGCGGCAUCGGAUGACGAAUCUCACAGCUUGCUAUUGGUCUUCUCCUGCACCCUUGGAAUGGGUGACCCUGGUGUUUCAAAACUUAGUGUCUUUCGCUUUGUGUUCUUACGGCAACGAGUACGUAUUUCCUACUAUUAGACCUUUGCUCUUUCAACUUAUUUGCUAUUACAUCUUUGCAUGUUGCAGUUUACAAAAGGUAAGUGGGGUUUCUGCUUAUUUACUAGACCCUUCAAAUCGUAAUCUUAAUCUCGUGGAAACAAUGGUGAGUGUUGUUACGGGUUGUCUUGAUCUCCAGUGAUAUGUGAUUGGUGACUGUUUUCUAGAAAUCGUGCUUGAUAAGCUGUCUGGGGGUUUCAAUUGGAACCCAAUUAAGAGGACUAUGAACUUGCCAGGUGUUUUGAUUAAAGCUCUAGGAAUUGCUGUUGACCACAGCUCUCAGUCUAAUAAUAAUCUUAUUUCAUGAAGAUUUGUACUUGGAAUAGCCGGGGAAGUUCCUGGUCAAACAAAUUUCUAUGCCUCUAUUUUAGAUAUUGAUGUCCUCUGUAUCUUGGAUACUAGGGCCUCUACAGGUAUAAUUAUUAAGACCAUGAAACUUCCUUUUGAUACUCAAUAUGUUAUUCCUGCAAGAGGGCAAUGUGGUGGCCUCCUUUUACUCUGGAAAUCUAGGAUGGUUAACAUUGAUAUUAUCAUGCCUCAUGAUCGUUUUAUUCAUUGCAUGAUCACUGAGAUUGCUACCAACAAUUCCUUGUAUACUACCUUUGUGUAUAUUUUUCCUCAAAAGGAAAAACAAACAGGUCUUUGGAAUGAAAUUCUAGCCAUGAAGCCUGUGAAUGAUGAACCCUGGUUAAUUAUGGGUGAUUUUAAUAACAUUAUUAGUCUCAAUGAAAAAUCUGGUGCUAACCAGUCGGUUACGAACCACAUGAUUAAUUUUACAGUUUUCCUAAAUAAAAUGUUUGUUCUUUAGAUGCCUCUGGUGUUCCUUUUACUUGGUCAAAUUGUCAUAAGGACAAUACAAUUAUUUAUGAAAGAUUGGACCGAGUGCAAAUGCAGGUUUGAUUAAUCUGUUUCCGGAUAUGACUUUAGUUAAUUAUCCCAUCAAUUCUUCUGAUCAUGGUCCAAUUUGCCUAAAUCUUUAUUCAAGGUCCUGAAAUUUUCAUAAACCCUUCAGGUUUGAGGCUAUGUGGUUAUCCCACAAUGAUUUCAAGAGGUUAACGACUGAAAUUUGGGUCAGAACCUUGACAGUGACCCUUUAAAGAACUUUUUGGCGAUUUCUAGUAGUUAUGCCAAGGUUUUGAAAACUUGGAAUAAAAAUGUUUUUGGAGACUUGUUCAAAAAACUUAAGGAUCUUCAAGAAGAGAGUAGUUUGAUUCAACAACAACUUAUGAACUCUCCUUUUUCUGUUGUUUUGCAGGAGAAAAAUGCUAAAGUUAAAUCACGAAUUGCUUAAGAUGUACAGUGAUGAGGAACUUUACUGGGCUCAAAAAGCAAGAGCUAAUUGGCUUAGCUUGGGAGAUAAAAAUACUAUAUUCUUUCAGACUCGAGCUAAUAUAAGGAAGAAAAAGACUUUUGUUACAAAAGUUAAAGAUGAGUCUGGUGUUUGGUUAAAUAGUCAAGAACAUAUUGCUAAAUAUUUUGUGCAUAACUUUAAAAGGAGAUUCUCCUUAGAUCUUUGUCCGAAUAUGAACUCUAUGAUGACUUUUUUGGAUUGUUUGUCUCCUGGUAUCUCUACUGAUGAUAACUCCUUGCUUACUCAACAGGUGAAUGACACUGAAAUUUUGGAAGCUUUAAAUUCAAUUGGCCCCUUGAAAGCACCUGGACGGCUGGACCGGAUGGACUACAUGCCAUAUUCUACCAAAAGUGCUGGACUGAGGUAAAAAGCUGCAUCAUUCCUUUGAUUAAAGGUUUCUUCCAGCAUGGUCUGAACAUUGAGCUGUUAAAUCAUACCAAUAUUGCUUUGAUUCCUAAAAAAGAUAAUCCUGAAACUGCGGCUGAUUUUAGACCUACUAGCUUGUGUAAUGUUUGUUACAAGAUCAUUACCAAAAUUUUAGUUAAGAGACUUAGACCUCUUCUGGAAAAGUGUAUUUCUAAAAACCAAGGUGCCUUUGCACCAGGAAGAUCCAUUCAGGAUAACAUUUAAAUUGCUCAUGAGUUGUUCUCAGACUUUCAGCGAAAAAAAGGGAACUUAGGUGCAAUGGCAGUCAAACUUGACCUUGAGAAAGCUUAUGAUUUCUUAAAUUGGAAUUAUAUCGAGGCUUGUCUCCAUAAAUUUGGGUUCAAUACACAUUGGAUUUCUCUGAUAACGAAAUGUAUCACUACUGCUUCUUUUUCUAUAUUGGUUAAUGGCAAGUCUGAAGAUUGGUUUAAACCUUCAAGAGGAAUCAGACAAGGUGAUCCCUUAUCCCCUUGUAUCUUUAUCUUAGCUAUGGAACCCCUCAUUCGACACCUAAAUAGUUUAUCAACCAGAAGUAAAACCCAUGUUGGUAUGCUUUCUUCCUGGCUAGGUUUUAGGAUUUCAAACCUAAUGUUUGCUGAUGACUGCCUUAUUUUUGGGAAAGCUUCUCCCAAAGCCGCUAGAAAUAUUCUUACUGUUUUGAAUAAUUUCUCUGCUGCCUCUGGUCAGAAAAUAAACUUUGACAAGUCUUCUUUGUAUUUCUCUCCAAAGGUCAGUAAUGUGACCAAGGUUAAUAUAGUUAGUAUAUUAGCUAUACAACAGAAAGCUACCGUAGGCAAGUAUCUUGGCAUUCACAAUGUGAUUUUCUGGAAAGACCCUUCAAAUGCAAAGGAACUUAUGCUCAGAAUUUCAAAAAAGUUAGCAGGUUGGAAAAAAGGUACUCUUUCUAGAGCAGGCAGAUCGACUCUUAUUAAAUCUAAUUUGUCGGGCAUGCCUAUUAAUGUUAUAUCUUGUUUUAAAUGCUCUCCUAAAAUUACAAAUGCUAUUGAUAAGGAAGCUAGAAAUUUUUUCUGGAAUUGCAAUGGGAGUCCUCCUGUGGCUUGGAGCCAAAUUUGCUGCCCUAAACAUGUGGGUGGACUUGGCAUUAGACCAAGUGCUUACUUUAAUAAUGCUGCUAUUGCCAAACUUGGCUGGAAAAUUAGUAAGGAACCAGAAAAUUGGUGGGCUCAGAUUAUGAGGAAAAAAUAUUUGAGAAAGGUGAAUUUCUUUCAAGCAAAAAAGAAGCAAGCUAGCUCUUUGGCUUGGAAGGGAAUCCUUGAUUGCAGAGAUCUUCUUACUCAAGGGUUGAGAUGGACUGUUGGCAAUGGAAGAAGUAUCAACUUCUGGACCUUAAAUUGGGUUUUCCCUUUUCCUCUAAGUAAUCUUCUCAAUGAUAGUCAAAAAGCUAGUAUUUCUGUUGCCGAUUUUAUGACUAACAAGUGUUGGAAUAAGCAAAAACUCUUGCAGGUACUAGAUCAUAGCAUUGUAAACUAGAUAUUGGGCAUUCCUAUUCCUGUGUGUGAUCCGGAAGAUGAACUUAUUUGGGGACCCUCUUCUAAUGGAAAUUUCUCAAUCAAAACAGCAACUUGGUUACAAGGUAAGGAUCAAAAUGUUCAUGCUAAUGCAGAUCUUUUAAGGAAAAUGUGGUGAUCGAUUAUUCCACCAAAAGUAAAAAUAUUUAGUUGGCUUCUCUUAAGAGGCAGAUUGAAAACUAAGGAUAGACUUUCAAGGUUCAGCUACAUCAAUAAUAAUUCUUGUCCGCUUUGCAAUAACGAUAAUGAAACUGCUGAUCAUAUUUUUGGUUGUUGUGUUUUCUCACAAGAUGUCUGGAGAAUUGCAGGCAUUGAUAAUCUAGUUGACUAGAGCAAUGGAAUUUUGCAUAAUAUGAGAAGCCUUUCUGGCAAUAAUCCCUAUGAUAAAGAUUUAUUUGCCAAACUUCUUCUUUGUUGGCAAAUAUGGAAAAGAAGAAAUGAUUGCGUUUUUAGAAACUUAACUCCCAAGUCUUUUGAUACAGUUCAAGUGGCUCUUCAUUACUUACAUUCCUACAGGAACCAUAAUUCGGGGCUUGUUGGAUUUUCUACUCAAAACCCUCUUGCCAUAAUUAAAUGGCAUCCACCACCCCCGAAUUUUUGCAAAUUAAACUUUGAUGGCUCUGUUAACCAUAUGAACUCGGCUGCUACUGGCUUUAUUAUCAUAGAUGAUAAAGGUCAGUUUGUAGUUGCCGGUGUGAAAAGAGUUGGUUCCUCAAGUAUUCCAACAGUUGAAGUUGCUCCUUUAAGAGAAGGACUUCUAAAAAGCAAGAGAGAAGCACAUCAAGAAGGUAAAUGGUAGAAGGAGACUCAAAGUUGGUGAUUGACUGCAUUAAUGGCACUUGUGCUACCCUUUGGAGACUCAAGACAAUGGUAGAAAACAUUAAGCAAAUAUGCGAAUGUUUUGAGAGCUGCUAUUUUCAACAUGUUUUUCGAGAAGCUAACUUCCCGGUGGAUGCCUUUGCAAACUUGGGUACAUAAGUAACAUGGAUAUUGACUUGGAAGGAUCUUGUCCUCUUCAAAUUAGAAAUGCUUUAUUGUUUGACCGUUUAGGGUCAUGUUGUACUCGAGGUUCUAUUUUGUAAUUUACUUUUCGUAUCAAAAACAACAAAAAAACAAUUCAUACACCUUAUAUUCAACUCUAGGUUUUUUUUUUUUAUUAUCAUUAAAUAAAGAAUAAGAGAGAUAAGUCAUCCUUGACAUAUCAUCACGAGUAAGACUAAUUCUUAGUAAAGUUUCGAAAAUUCUUCUAUACACCAUAGUAUACAUGCACGGUUUCAGCAACAUUUAUCAAGUAAUUUGUGUUCUUGAUUUUUAUAGUAAACAUCUUUAGUAGUCUUCUUGAUGUUAUCUAUUGGUGUUUGAUAAAGCAAGUAUUAUUGUUGCAGCAACAUGGCUUCUAAAGUAUUAUUCUUACUUUAUCAAUCACUGUAGCACUACAGCAUAGCUUAGCAGCAUGUUGUAUAUGAAUUUGUCCUACUGUUCUCAAUUUUUGUUGGAUUCAAAUAGUGCCUUGAAUCCUCUAUAAAUACAUCAAUCUAAAUCAACAUACAUGUGAGACAAAAAGAGAGAAACCCCCUCAAACCCUAGCGUUGCUGCGAUCAACUUUCUCCUCUCUCAUUCAUAAUCGCUAUUAUGUCCUCCAUUGACACCGUCACAGCGUCCUUCGCCGCCUCCUUGGCUUUGGCUAACGGUGGAAAAGUGCCAGAUUUGGGGAAGAUAGGAGGAGGUCCUGUGAGACAUUCAUCCCAAUCUUUUCUUCUUGCUAAGCCACUCACGUUGUGUUGUGGAUCCAGAAGAUUCAAGUCGCACUUUGGCCGUGCUUGGGUGGUGCAGUGGAAUUUCUGAAUUCAGGAGAGCGUGAUCUCCUCCUCGUCUCCUUCGAAUCUGAGAAGGAUCGAAAAAAAGUUCUAAAGGGUGGCGCAUGGUGCUUUGACCACGUACGUGUUUGUCUUGAGGUGUAUGAUGGGAUUACUCCUAUGGCCGACGUUCUUAUACGUCAUGUGAGGAUGUGGGUGAUCGUCUCUUUGAUCCCCCCUCGGUACGAGGAGUGUGAUAACCUUCGUUUGAUUGGUAACCUUCUUGGAGGAUACUUGGAUUAUGAUCAUACAAUUCAAAAGGGAGUGAUGAAGAUCUUGUUUACCCACGACAUCUAUAAACCAGUUCUUUUAGAGAGGCAGGUUCAUCUGGAUCUAAGGGUGGAGCCGAUGUUAAAGUUUGAUUUUGUACAUCUUCUGGGUAGAUGUUAUGUCUGCAAUAUGAUCACACGUGCUGGAGAAAAGUGUGAUGGAACUCAUACCAUCUUAGGUACAUCCAAAGGCAUUAAUUUUGGUGCUCAGCCAAAACUAGGUUAUGCCUUUUUGGCAAAGCCCAUCGCUGGUGUGGCUAUCAAUCCAGCGCCGGUGGUUUCCUCAUCUUUGGUAGUGAAGAGAAAGCAUGUGGUACAUUGACUGGAGCAUACUGAAGCAUCAGAAAUUGAUGAAUCUGGUCUUCGACGUAUGGGCUCUUCUUCGGGGUCUGGUAACUCUACUCUUGAGAAUGAGGUUGCCUCCGAAUUAGAGACAUCUCCUAUUGUGUUAGAAGCUGUUGUUGGGAAAGAUGUGGUAUUUUCUACUACUCCCUCAAAGAAAUGAGGACGUAGUGGGGGUUGCUUUCCCUUCCCAAAGAAAAUCAUCAAGGCUAUUCUGGGCGGUAAACUUAUCAAACUACAAAUUGAAUCUUUAGGUUUGGUCGACACAAGUGGGAAUGAUGAGCCUCUUGUGACCCUGAAGAAGAAGUUGGGUGGUCGUCUGGGUAGCAGGAAUAAGGAAUCUCGGUCUACCAAAAAGACAGAGGCUCCUCUGCAUAUUACUUACCUGAUUGCUGCCAAGGUGGGUGACAAGGCAAGCCCUAAUGCCAAGGGCAAGGGCAAGACUUAGAAUUUGGGUUGCCCUUAGCCCGAGCAUCAGAGGUAGAUUUACUACUUAUUUCUUAAGCUUAUUAUGUCUAUAUUAAUUGAGGUCUUAGGCAGCUAAUAUUCUGUUCGAAGGACUUAGGUAGUCAGUUUUAAUUCUUUUGCUUCAGGCUCUCUUUGAGCCUAUGUGUAAUCAGUAAAGGUACCUAUCUUGGUGCUUGUAAGCCUCCCUUAACAUACUCUGUGGAUGAUGACAUUUUGAUGUAUGUGCAUUUUGGCCAUUGAUUAAGCAAUAUAAUUUAUCCUUUUUUUACAAAAAAAAAAACAACAUACAUGUGAGACCUGUAAGUUUAAUGAACUAGCUUAGGAAAUUACCCUUAAGUCAAAACUGCACAUUCCCUUUUUCUCUUAUUCUAUCUAAUAUAUUUCUUCAACUUCAUUGACAAAAAAGGUUAGCUUGAGUCUCUUUUAUUUAUUCCAAAUGUCAGUUCAAACAAGGAGUCAAGGACUUAUAUAUCCUAUUAGAAAUCACAUUAUGGGGCAGAACCUGACUAGCUAUAACGUGGUUGUGAACGCAGCUUAUAAGCUGUUCCAAGACUAUCUGAAUUCCAAGAAAGGGCGACAUGGUGCUUCAAGUGAUUCAAAAGAAUCAGGGGGAAAUAUAACAAAGAAGAACCUGAAGAGAAUACAAGGGGAAAACAACAGAUCAUUGGGCCUUUUGCUACCAUUGUGGAGAAGUUGGACAUGUCAAAACAAAGUGUCCUCAUAGAGAAGUUUCUGGAUCAGUAGCUACGCAUCAAAACUGACCACCAAGGCCUGCAAAACAGUGAGACAACACAGCAGAAUAUGCAACAACCACAAAGAGGAACUUUUCGCACGGCAAAUAAGGGAAAUCGUUGCCGCGGCGCUGGACAUGGCCAAUAUUACUCGUGGAGGAAGAGUCUUUGCAGUGACAAGACACAAGGAAGAAGAUCCAAAUAUUACACUUGAGGUACUAAUCUUUUAUCUCUUGAAACUAGUCUUAAUAGAUACUGGUGCAUCACACUCCUUUAUUUCAACUUACUUUGCUGAAUUAAAUCUAGAAUCUCAAAUAUUAGCUGAACCCUUGCAUCUAAAAACACCCUUAGGGGAGGGAGCACUAGUGGUAAUGAAUUGGUUGCGAGUACAUCGUUCCCUAAUUGAUUGUGAUAGAAGAGAAAGAGUAAAACCAUCAGAAGGAGGAGACUUAGUUAUAUGACUUGAUGAGUCUGUUAUAUUGAAGCAUUGCUUUUAGAAUAAGAGUGUUGUUGUGUUAUGGUCUUGGAAAAAUUUCAGUUUACUACCCUGAACUUUAGGUUUAAAAUCAGUCUGAUACCUCAUCUUUUUUUAAUCAGUUUCAUACCUAAACUUUUAAAAUGACAUCAAUCUCGACCAA